GAAUCGAUAGCACAGUGGUGUGUGCGUUUGGGUGAUGACCAACAGGUCAUGGGUUCGACUCCCUCACCCCC
This 71-nucleotide transfer RNA is filed under the name Hordeum vulgare. RNAcentral describes it as "tRNA-OTHER". The record is from RNAcentral. Lineage: Eukaryota; Viridiplantae; Streptophyta; Magnoliopsida; Poales; Poaceae.